Molecule: long non-coding RNA, 675 nt
Filed under: Ficedula albicollis (Collared flycatcher)
Lineage: Eukaryota; Metazoa; Chordata; Aves; Passeriformes; Muscicapidae
Description: lncRNA (ENSFALG00000023935.1)
Source: RNAcentral
GUGUGUGCCCAGCAAUGCUGGAGGCACAAGAGCAGCCAGAGCAGCCAUCAGGACAACACUCAGCGUUUUCCUUCUGCUGUUUGGGGGUAUGGAAGGCUGCAGAGAGCCCUUUACAAACCUGGAAAACAUGGGAACAUAGGAUGGCAUGUGGCAAGGUCACAGGACCACAGGAUCACGAGGUUGGAAGAGACCUUCAGGAUCAUUGAGUCCAGUCUAAAUUGGUCUAAGUGGAGCUGCAUUGCUGAAGGAUUACCAUGGAGAAGAAACUAUUUCCAAACUGACAAGAAUGUGGAAUCAGAUGAACAGAGAGAGCUGAUUCAAUUUCUGCCUGAACUCCAGGAUCACUGUUGGAGGCCUGGCUGCCUAAGGGAGCAACACCUCUCUCUGCUGCUGUGUCUGAGGGCACAGCUGUGAUUCUCAACCACCCUGUCAUAGCACAGCUACAUUCAGACUCCUAAGAGAGGUUUAACUGAUUAAUUUAAUUAUUAUUUUCUGUCUGUUUAACAGUGGUCUUCAUUGCAGGCACCCUUAGGACAUCCUGAGGUUUUGCGGGAGCCUCUGGCUCUCCUCCCUCGCUGGAUACCUUUGGCAGUACCAGAGGUUGCUAUUUACUGCUAUUCCUUCAGAAGACCUGCACAUGCAAAUAGUGCAUAAAAUGAUAAAAGAUUCAGUAAG